GUGCAUGUUCAUAUAUAAUAAGCAUUAAAUAUGACUGUUAAUUAUUUUCUUAUGGCUCGGUUUCGUGGUCCCAAAACCACUUUCCGGCUAUGGUCAAUUUAGGGCUGUCACAAGUAUUGUCUCAAGAAAGGCAACUUCAUAACAUUCCUCUUAACUUGGGGAAAGGGGGCUAUUGUCAUACCUAUCUCUACUGCCAUCUACUGCCAUCCUAAGUUCAACAAGACUCACUCAAGGGUCACCUCCAUAACAUCCUAAUGAAGCUUUCCAUACCUCUACAAUCACUCUAUGCAAUAGGCAUCAUUUGAGGGGAUUCACGUCAAGCUACCCCUUCCCCUUUGAUAUAAGGCUCUCUCCAUCAUCAAAAGAGAGGAGCUGAAGAUAUAACAAAAUUGAUUGUAGUCAUAAACUAAUUAAAAAUCUAACUAAGGC
RNAcentral lists this long non-coding RNA (429 nucleotides) under Gossypium barbadense (sea-island cotton). Its description in RNAcentral is "long non-coding RNA (GBAR_LNC011946)". Lineage: Eukaryota; Viridiplantae; Streptophyta; Magnoliopsida; Malvales; Malvaceae. The record is from RNAcentral.